UUGAGGAGGAAGCCCCCGGCUAACUACGUGCCAGCAGCCGCGGUAAUACGUAGGGGCAAGCGUUAUCCGGAAUCACUGGGGCGUAAAGGGGUGCGUAGGCGGUUUUUCAAGUCAGAAGUGAAAGGCUAUGGCUCAACCAUAGUAAGCUUUUGAAACUGUUAAACUUGAGUGCAGGAGAGGAAAGUGGAAUUCCUAGUGUAGAGGUGAAAUUCGUAGAUAUUAGGAGGAACACCAGUGGCGAAGGCGACUUUCUGGACUGUAACUGACGCUGAGGCACGAAAGCGUGGGGAGCGAACAGGAUUAGAUACCCCUGGUAG
This 317-nucleotide ribosomal RNA is filed under the name uncultured bacterium. Its description in RNAcentral is "bacterial SSU rRNA". It matches the Rfam family "Bacterial small subunit ribosomal RNA", at positions 479 to 793 of the family's 1533-position model. The record is from RNAcentral.